RNAcentral lists this ribosomal RNA (440 nucleotides) under uncultured bacterium. RNAcentral's name for it is "partial 16S ribosomal RNA". It matches the Rfam family "Bacterial small subunit ribosomal RNA", at positions 338 to 795 of the family's 1533-position model. The record is from RNAcentral.
CCUACGGGAGACAGCAGUGGGGAAUAUUGCACAAUGGGGGAAACCCUGAUGCAGCAACGCCGCGUGAGUGAAGAAGUAUUUCGGUAUGUAAAGCUCUAUCAGCAGGGAAGAAAAUGACAGUAUCUGACUAAGAAGCCCCGGCUAACUACGUGCCAGCAGCCGCGGUAAUAUGUAGGGGGCAAGCGUUGUCCGGAUUUACUGGGUGUAAAGGGAGCGUAGACGGCGGCGCAAGUCAGAAGUGAAAGCCCGGGGCUCAACCGCGGGACUGCAUUUGAAACUGUGUAGCUUGAGUGCAGGAGAGGUAGGUGGAAUUCCUAGUGUAGCGGUGAAAUGCGUAGAUAUAAGGAGGAACACCAGUGGCGAAGGCGGCUUGCUGGACUGUAACUGACGUUGAGGCUCGAAAGCGUGGGGAGCAAACAGGAUUAGAUACCCUAGUAGUC